CAUUAUCUGCGGUAGCAGCUGUAUUCUUAUGGCUGUUAUUGUUGAUUUCCACCCUUGUCUUUUGCGCACCCCCGUUUCCUCGGCUGCUCAGCCAGCCGUUAGGACACUCUAUAACCUUUUGUACUGUAUAAUCAGCGUCUGAAAACAAUAAAUUAUUA
RNAcentral lists this unclassified non-coding RNA (158 nucleotides) under uncultured Ascomycota. Its description in RNAcentral is "sequence contains ITS1". Lineage: Eukaryota; Fungi; Ascomycota. The record is from RNAcentral.